This 253-nucleotide ribosomal RNA is filed under the name uncultured prokaryote. RNAcentral's name for it is "partial 16S ribosomal RNA". It matches the Rfam family "Bacterial small subunit ribosomal RNA", at positions 524 to 776 of the family's 1533-position model. The record is from RNAcentral.
UACGUAGGUGGCAAGCGUUGUUCGGAAUUAUUGGGCGUAAAGGGCGCGUAGGCGGUUUGUUAAGUCGGCUGUGAAAGCCCGGGGCUCAACCCCGGAGGGUCAGCCGAUACUGGCAGACUAGAGUACGGAAGAGGUAGCUGGAAUUCCCGGUGUAGCGGUGAAAUGCGUAGAUAUCAGGAAGAACACCAGUGGCGAAGGCGGCCACCUGGCCCAUAACUGACGCUCAUGCACGAAAGCGUGGGGAUCAAACAGG